RNAcentral lists this ribosomal RNA (468 nucleotides) under uncultured bacterium. Its description in RNAcentral is "partial 16S ribosomal RNA". It matches the Rfam family "Bacterial small subunit ribosomal RNA", at positions 28 to 507 of the family's 1533-position model. The record is from RNAcentral.
GACGAACGCUGGCGGCGUGCUUAACACAUGCAAGUCGAACGGAAAGGCCCUGCUUUUGUGGGGUGCUCGAGUGGCGAACGGGUGAGUAACACGUGAGUAACCUGCCCUCGACUUUGGGAUAACUUCAGGAAACUGGGGCUAAUACCGGAUAGGAGCUCCUGCUGCAUGGUGGGGGUUGGAAAGUUUCGGCGGUUGGGGAUGGACUCGCGGCUUAUCAGCUUAUUGGUGGGGUAGUGGCUUACCAAGGCUUUGACGGGUAGCCGGCCUGAGAGGGUGACCGGCCACAUUGGGACUGAGAUACGGCCCAGACUCCUACGGGAGGCAGCAGUGGGGAAUAUUGCACAAUGGGCGGAAGCCUGAUGCAGCAACGCCGCGUGCGGGAUGACGGCCUUCGGGUUGUAAACCGCUUUCGCCUGUGACGAAGCGUGAGUGACGGUAAUGGGUAAAGAAGCACCGGCUAACUACGUG